UUCCUACGGGAGGCAGCAGUGGGGGAUAUUGCACAAUGGGGGGAACCCUGAUGCAGCGACGCCGCGUGGGCGAUGGAGCGCCUCGGCGCGUAAAGCCCUAUCAGCAGGGAAGAAGAUGACGGUACCUGACUAAGAAGCCCCGGCUAACUACGUGCCAGCAGCCGCGGUAAUACGUAGGGGGCAAGCGUUAUCCGGAUUUACUGGGUGUAAAGGGGGCGCAGACGGCGAUGCAAGCCAGGAGUGAAAGCCCGGGGCCCAACCCCGGGACUGCUCUUGGAACUGCGUGGCUGGAGUGCAGGAGGGGG
RNAcentral lists this ribosomal RNA (305 nucleotides) under uncultured bacterium. RNAcentral's name for it is "bacterial SSU rRNA". It matches the Rfam family "Bacterial small subunit ribosomal RNA", at positions 336 to 658 of the family's 1533-position model. The record is from RNAcentral.